RNAcentral lists this transfer RNA (72 nucleotides) under Deltaproteobacteria bacterium. Its description in RNAcentral is "tRNA-Lys". Lineage: Bacteria; Pseudomonadati; Myxococcota; Myxococcia. The record is from RNAcentral.
UUAAAGAUGGUAAAAAUCCCCUUUAUCUGACUCUUAAUCCGUAGGUUGGAGGUUCGAGUCCUCCACGGCCCA